CCUACGGGUGGCUGCAGUGGGGAAUAUUGCACAAUGGGCGCAAGCCUGAUGCAGCCAUGCCGCGUGUGUGAAGAAGGCCUUCGGGUUGUAAAGCACUUUCAGCGGGGAGGAAGGCGUUAAGGUUAAUAACCUUGGCGAUUGACGUUACCCGCAGAAGAAGCACCGGCUAACUCCGUGCCAGCAGCCGCGGUAAUACGGAGGGUGCAAGCGUUAAUCGGAAUUACUGGGCGUAAAGCGCACGCAGGCGGUCUGUCAAGUCGGAUGUGAAAUCCCCGGGCUCAACCUGGGAACUGCAUUCGAAACUGGCAGGCUAGAGUCUUGUAGAGGGGGGUAGAAUUCCAGGUGUAGCGGUGAAAUGCGUAGAGAUCUGGAGGAAUACCGGUGGCGAAGGCGGUCCCCUGGACAAAGACUGACGCUCAGGUGCGAAAGCGUGGGGAGCAAACAGGAUUAGAUACCCGUGUAGUC
RNAcentral lists this ribosomal RNA (465 nucleotides) under uncultured Klebsiella sp. RNAcentral's name for it is "bacterial SSU rRNA". It matches the Rfam family "Bacterial small subunit ribosomal RNA", at positions 338 to 795 of the family's 1533-position model. The record is from RNAcentral. Lineage: Bacteria; Pseudomonadati; Pseudomonadota; Gammaproteobacteria; Enterobacterales; Enterobacteriaceae.